CUUCGCUUGAGCAAAAACCAAACACAGGAGCCUGAUAGAAAAGUGGCCCUCGCUUUGAAGUUUUGACUUUGACCACAUUAUCGAAGCAGAGUAAGCAAGAAAGAGAGCCGAAGAAAAGUCUUACCUUCCUUCCUCCUUCCUCUUGCCUCUUGAAGAUAUCUUUUCUGCAUAUAAAGAGCCCACCAUUGCUCUCUUCUACCUGCAGCUCACAGCUUCAUUUUAUCAGCUUCUAUAUACACCUUUACUAAGCUACUUACCUCACUUCAUUAAUCUCUCCUUCUUUUCUUCUCACAACACAAGAGACUGCUUAUAGGGUUAGGCUAUGUGCAGCGGUUCCAAGGGUAAACUUUUCCCUGCAAAUCCCACCAUGGAAGUUGAGUCUGGCAGUCCGAAGUAUGGUAUCUUGUCCAAAGGCUCAGUGUUGCUUGAAUUGUCAGCCUCUGAUGACCUUGUUGGCUUCAAAAGUGAGAUUGAGGAGAAGGGUUUAGAUGUUGAUGAGGCAAGCUAUUGGUAUGGUAGAAGAAUUGGGUUGAAAAAGAUGGGUUUUGAAGAGAGAACGCCUCUUAUGAUUGCAGCCAUGUUUGGAAGUACUAAUGUUUUGAAGUACAUAAUUGGUACUGGGAAAGUUGAUGUCAAUAGAGCCUGUGGUUGGGAUAAGGUUACCGCCCUUCACUGUGCUGUUGCUGGCUGUUCCAAUUCUUUGGUUGAAAUUGUCAAGCUCUUGCUUGAUGCAUCUGCUGAUACUAACUGCAUCGACGCUAAUGGAAACAGACCCAGUGAUCUCUUUACCCCUUCUUUGAAGUCUCCCUGCAAUUCAAGAAGGAAGUUGGUAGAGUUGUUGCUAAAAGGUGAAAGCUUGAGUGAAGAUGAAGAAGAAAAGCUGAUCAUGAUGUCUCUGCCAGCAAAAGAAGGAACCGAGAAGAAAGAAUAUCCAAUUGAUGUGUCUCUGCCAGAUAUAAACAAUGGGGUAUAUGGUACAGAUGAGUUUAGAAUGUACUGUUUUAAGGUUAAGCCUUGCUCGAGGGCAUACUCUCAUGAUUGGACAGAGUGUCCAUUUGUCCAUCCAGGAGAGAAUGCAAGGAGGAGAGACCCAAAGAAAUACCCUUACAGUUGUGUCCCUUGCCCUGAGUUUCGCAAGGGGACAUGCCAGAAGGCUGACUCCUGUGAAUAUGCACAUGGCGUUUUUGAGUCAUGGCUGCAUCCUGCUCAAUAUCGAACCCGGCUAUGCAAGGAUGAGACUGGUUGCUCACGGAAAGUUUGUUUCUUUGCUCACAAGCCUGAGGAGUUGCGGCCUGUAUAUGCUUCCACAGGUUCAGCAAUGCCUUCACCCAAGUCUGUUUCAGUUAGUUCAAUGGACACGGCAACACUGACUCCUUUGAGUCUUGGUUCACCAUCAUUGACAUUGCCUACUGUCUCAACACCACCCAUGUCUCCCUUGACAGUAGCCUCUUCAUCCCCCAAGAGUGGAGGGUUAUGGCAGAAUAAAGUUAACCUCAACCCACCCGCUUUGCAGCUCCCAGGAAGUAGGCUAAAGACGGCGUUAUGUGCUAGAGAUUUGGAUUUGGAGAUGGAAUUACUUGGGCUGGAAAAUCACAUUAGCCAACUUCAGCAACAGCAAUUGAUGGAUGAGAUAUCUGGCAUGUCCUCUCCAUCCUGUUGGAGCAAGGACUUUAACAGGAUUGGAGAUUUGAAGCCUACUAACCUUGAUGAUGUUUUUGGAUCUUUCGAUCCUUCUCUGUUGUCUCCAUUGCAGGGGAUGUCAUUAAAAUCUUCAACACCGACCCAAUUGCAAUCUCCUACUGGACUUCAGAUUCGCCAAAAUAUGAAUCAAUCUCGUUCAAGCUACCCGGCUAAUCUCUCCUCCACUUCUGUGAGGAAACCUGCGUCAUAUGGGUUUGAUUCAUCUGCUGCAGUGGCUGCAGCUGUGAUGAAUUCAAGGUCUUCUGCCUUUGCUAAGCGGAGCCAUAGUUUCAUUGAUCGUGGAGCAGCAGGAACCAACCGUCUUGGCAUCACUGCAGCAGCAAAUUCUGUAUCCAUGGUGUCCUCCAAUCUUUCAGAUUGGAGCUCUCCUGAUGGAAAACUUGAUUGGGGUGUUCAAGGAGAUGAGCUGAACAAGCUCAAGAAGUCUGCUUCAUUUGGAUUUCGUAACAACAAUCACACAACAGCGGCAGACUUGACACUAUCCAAUGUCAACGAGCCUGAUGUGUCUUGGGUUAAUUCCUUGGUUAAAGACGUUCCUACUGCUGGGCUUGGUGCAGAGAAGCAAUACAAUCUCAGUAAAGGAGUCCAUGAAUCGCUUCCACCAUGGAUGGAGCAGUUGUACAUAGAACAAGAGCAGAUAGUGGCAUAAGCAACAUCUGUGCGCUUGAAGCUUAUGUGACAAAUUCAAUACUAUUUGAAUUCAUAUUAGUAUCUGAUAAUUGUAUUUAUGUUUAGAAUAGGGAAGUUACUAAGAAGUAAAAUUGCAGACCAGUCAAGAACGAAAACUCUGGGCAGGAAGUCUCUGCUCAUGUCAUUGAUAGGCUACGUGAAGAAUUAGGAUAAAAAUUAUAAGGAACAAGAAAGGGGAAAAUUUUUUAAUUAUUUAUAUUCUUAUUUCGUUUUCUCCCCAUCUGAGGAGAUUUUACUUUGUAUUUCUGAGUUUAAGAUUCAAUGCAAUAUUGAGAGAGUAUAUUCUCUGA
Molecule: unclassified non-coding RNA, 2681 nt
Filed under: Hevea brasiliensis (rubber tree)
Lineage: Eukaryota; Viridiplantae; Streptophyta; Magnoliopsida; Malpighiales; Euphorbiaceae
Source: RNAcentral